CGAAAGAGAACCUGCACACAGGUGCUGCAUGGCUGUCGUCAGCUCGUGUCGUGGGAUCGUUGGGUUAAGUCCCGCAACGAGCGCAACCCUUGCCAUUAGUUGCUACGAAAGGGCACUCUAAAUGGGACUGCCGGUGACAAACCGGAGGAAGGUGGGGAUGACGUCAAGUCCUCAUGGCCCUUAUAGGUGGGGCUACACACGUCAUACAAUGGCCGGUACAGAGGGUAGCCAACCCGCGAGGGGGAGCCAAUCCCACAAAGCCGGUCGUAGUCCGGAUCGCAGUCUGCAACUCGACUGCGUGAAGUCGGAAUCGCUAGUAAUCGGUGGAUCAGAAUGUCACGGUGAAUACGUUCCCGGGUCUU
This 362-nucleotide ribosomal RNA is filed under the name uncultured Allobrachymonas sp. Its description in RNAcentral is "bacterial SSU rRNA". It matches the Rfam family "Bacterial small subunit ribosomal RNA", at positions 1017 to 1382 of the family's 1533-position model. The record is from RNAcentral. Lineage: Bacteria; Pseudomonadati; Pseudomonadota; Betaproteobacteria; Burkholderiales; Comamonadaceae.